AAAGCGUGCGCAGGCGGUUUUGUAAGUCAGAUGUGAAAUCCCCGAGCUCAACUUGGGAACUGCGUUUGAAACUACAAGGCUAGAGUAUGGUAGAGGGGGGUAGAAUUCCACGUGUAGCAGUGAAAUGCGUAGAGAUGUGGAGGAAUACCAAUGGCGAAGGCAGCCCCCUGGACUAAUACUGACGCUCAUGCACGAAAGCGUGGGGAGCAAACAGGAUUAGAUACCCCGGU
RNAcentral lists this ribosomal RNA (230 nucleotides) under uncultured bacterium. RNAcentral's name for it is "partial 16S ribosomal RNA". It matches the Rfam family "Bacterial small subunit ribosomal RNA", at positions 562 to 791 of the family's 1533-position model. The record is from RNAcentral.